RNAcentral lists this ribosomal RNA (465 nucleotides) under uncultured bacterium. Its description in RNAcentral is "bacterial SSU rRNA". It matches the Rfam family "Bacterial small subunit ribosomal RNA", at positions 331 to 792 of the family's 1533-position model. The record is from RNAcentral.
CCAGACUCCUACGGGAGGCAGCAGUGAGGAAUAUUGGUCAAUGGGCGGAAGCCUGAACCAGCCAAGUCGCGUGAGGGAAGAAGACCCUGCGGGUCGCAGACCUCUUUGGACGGGGAGCAAGGCCGCCGACGUGUCGGCGGAAGGAGAGUACCCGUAGAACAAGCAUCGGCUAACUCCGUGCCAGCAGCCGCGGUAAUACGUAUGGUGCAAGCGUUAUCCGGAUUUACUGGGUGUAAAGGGAGCGCAGGCGGCACGGCAAGCCUGAUGUGAAAGCCCGCGGCCCAACCGCGGGACUGCAUUGGGAACUACCGGGCUGGAGUGCCGGAGAGGUAGGCGGAAUUCCUGGUGUAGCGGUGAAAUGCGUAGAUAUCAGGAGGAACACCGGUGGCGAAGGCGGCCUGCUGGACUGCGACUGACGUUGAGGCCCGAAAGCGUGGGGAGCAAACAGGAUUAGAUACCCGUGUA